UACGGAGGGAGCUAGCGUUGUUCGGAAUUACUGGGCGUAAAGCGCACGUAGGCGGCUUUGUAAGUUAGAGGUGAAAGCCCGGGGCUCAACUCCGGAACUGCCUUUAAGACUGCAUCGCUUGAAUCCAGGAGAGGUGAGUGGAAUUCCGAGUGUAGAGGUGAAAUUCGUAGAUAUUCGGAAGAACACCAGUGGCGAAGGCGGCUCACUGGACUGGUAUUGACGCUGAGGUGCGAAAGCGUGGGGAGCAAACAAG
Molecule: ribosomal RNA, 253 nt
Filed under: uncultured bacterium
Lineage: Bacteria
Description: partial 16S ribosomal RNA
Rfam family: Bacterial small subunit ribosomal RNA
Source: RNAcentral